CCUACGGGGGGCUGCAGUGGGGAAUAUUGGGCAAUGGGGGCAACCCUGACCCAGCGACGCCGCGUGGGGGAAGACGGCCUUCGGGUUGUAAACCUCUUUUGUACGGGAAGAAGGAAGUGACGGUACUGUACGAAUAAGUCCCGGCUAACUACGUGCCAGCAGCCGCGGUAAUACGUAGGGGACGAGCGUUGUCCGGAAUUACUGGGCGUAAAGGGCGCGCAGGCUGUGCUGCAAGUCAGCUGUUAAAUGUCUGGGCUUAACCCGGGCAUGCGGUUGAGACUGCGGUGCUGGAGUGCUGUAGAGGCAAGUGGAAUUCCCAGUGUAGCGGUGAAAUGCGUAGAUAUUGGGAAGAACACCGGUGGCGAAGGCGACUUGCUGGGCAGCAACUGACGCUGAGGCGCGAAAGCCAGGGGAGCAAACGGGCUUAGAUACCCGAGUAGUC
RNAcentral lists this ribosomal RNA (442 nucleotides) under uncultured Synergistaceae bacterium. Its description in RNAcentral is "bacterial SSU rRNA". It matches the Rfam family "Bacterial small subunit ribosomal RNA", at positions 338 to 795 of the family's 1533-position model. Lineage: Bacteria; Thermotogati; Synergistota; Synergistia; Synergistales; Synergistaceae. The record is from RNAcentral.